This 503-nucleotide ribosomal RNA is filed under the name uncultured bacterium. Its description in RNAcentral is "partial 16S ribosomal RNA". It matches the Rfam family "Bacterial small subunit ribosomal RNA", at positions 30 to 523 of the family's 1533-position model. The record is from RNAcentral.
AUUGAACGCUGGCGGCAGGCUUAACACAUGCAAGUCGAGCGGGGUGAUGGUGCUUGCACUAUCACUUAGCGGCGGACGGGUGAGUAAUGCUUAGGAAUCUGCCUAUUAGUGGGGGACAACAUCUCGAAAGGGAUGCUAAUACCGCAUACGUCCUACGGGAGAAAGCAGGGGAUCACUUGUGACCUUGCGCUAAUUGAUGAGCCCAAGUCGGAUUAGCUAGUUGGUGGGGUAAAGGCCUACCAAGGCGACGAUCUGUAGCGGGUCUGAGAGGAUGAUCCGCCACACUGGGACUGAGACACGGCCCAGACUCCUACGGGAGGCAGCAGUGGGGAAUAUUGGACAAUGGGGGGAACCCUGAUCCAGCCAUGCCGCGUGUGUGAAGAAGGCCUUAUGGUUGUAAAGCACUUUAAGCGAGGAGGAGGCUCUUUUGGUUAAUACCCAAGAUGAGUGGACGUUACUCGCAGAAUAAGCACCGGCUAACUCUGUGCCAGCAGCCGCGGUAA